This 360-nucleotide ribosomal RNA is filed under the name uncultured bacterium. Its description in RNAcentral is "bacterial SSU rRNA". It matches the Rfam family "Bacterial small subunit ribosomal RNA", at positions 43 to 387 of the family's 1533-position model. The record is from RNAcentral.
GGCCGCGGGAAUUCGAUUCAGGCCUAACACAUGCAAGUCGAGCGGAGAUGAGGUGCUUGCACCUUAUCUUAAAAGCGGACGGGUGAGUAAUGCUUAGGAAUCUGCCUAUUAGUGGGGGACAACAUUCCGAAAGGAAUGCUAAUACCGCAUACGUCCUACGGGAGAAAGCAGGGGAUCUUCGGACCUUGCGCUAAUAGAUGAGCCUAAGUCGGAUUAGCUAGUUGGUGGGGUAAAGGCCUACCAAGGCGACGAUCUGUAGCGGGUCUGAGAGGAUGAUCCGCCACACUGGGACUGAGACACGGCCCAGACUCCUACGGGAGGCAGCAGUGGGGAAUAUUGGACAAUGGGGGGAACCCUGAU